This 88-nucleotide transfer RNA is filed under the name Gammaproteobacteria bacterium. Its description in RNAcentral is "tRNA-Leu". It matches the Rfam family "tRNA". From Rfam's summary of the family: Transfer RNA (tRNA) molecules are approximately 80 nucleotides in length. The record is from RNAcentral. RNAcentral also lists the same sequence under 2 other names. Lineage: Bacteria; Pseudomonadati; Pseudomonadota; Gammaproteobacteria.
GCCCGGGUGGCGAAAUUGGUAGACGCAAGGGACUUAAAAUCCCUCGGUUAUUGUAACCGUGCCGGUUCGAUUCCGGCCCCGGGCACCA